UUCACUACUCUAUCCUAACAACAAGUAAAAAGCUGAGCAGACUGAAAAAUCAACAGCUCUUCUUGGAUUCCCAAGAGAGGCGAGGACACAGGGCAAACCGCUGUCCCCAAGAUUGGAGAGACAGACAGGCAAAUACAGGGAGCCACCCUUACCAGAACAAAGACUCACAAGCAAAACCCCUGGCAGGAAACAGUGCUGGGGAAGGAAAACCUGAACUGUAAUUGACAGAUUGCUAGAAGCUCACUGGACAGCUCUGAGAGUUCAAAAACUCCAGGAAAACCCCAUCACAGGGAGGCCCACACAAUAUUGUGAGAUUUACUUCCAGGAGCUCGACCAGGUUCCCACAGCUCCGUAUGCUGAACUUGUGCAGAUGAAUCCUAAACAACUUUCAAGAGAAGUCAUUUUAAAAGUGAGUCUCAAUCUAAAUUGAUUCACUUUGAGAGAACAAAAAGGGACAGAUUUCCAAGCGAUGAAAGAGAUACUCUAGCUCAUCAUCACUCAUGUGGUGACCGAUGGGCUUUCUCUGGAAGGAGACUGACCUAAUCUCCCUCCACUUCUCCUUCUUGCUGCCCUUCUCUCGGUGCUUCUAGGACAAAAAAUAUGGAAAAUCUUUUCCACCUGUUAUUUGUGAAGAAAAAAGGGAGGGUGGCCACAUGACGACACUUGAUAUAACAGGAGCCUGGAAACAUUCACACGCACGCACACCCCCUUCCAGCAGCAAGGAUUUCUGCAAGUGCCUCUGGGGACCCGGAAGGCGUUGCUUGAGUUCCACGCCAUCAAAUGGGAUGAAAAGACCGUUAUUUCAAAUGACUCCAUCACCAUCGCCGGUUAUCCAGGACUGAGGUGGUUCAACCUUAUUAGCAAAUGUCCUAUGAAAGAUAAACCUGGAUAGCCAAAACCUCGAGAGUGAAGUCUCUUGGAAAAUUCAGUGAUCCCCCGCAUGGGUGAUCUUCCGGGGCACCAGAGUUUGAACAUCAAGUCCAAAAGCAUAGAGAGAAGUUUUCACCAGUUGGACUGAGAAG
This is a long non-coding RNA of Balaenoptera musculus (blue whale), 1022 nucleotides long. RefSeq lists it as uncharacterized. The record is from RefSeq and is a predicted model, not a curated record. Lineage: Eukaryota; Metazoa; Chordata; Mammalia; Artiodactyla; Balaenopteridae. The transcript is spliced from 3 exons.